RNAcentral lists this unclassified non-coding RNA (433 nucleotides) under Hevea brasiliensis (rubber tree). Lineage: Eukaryota; Viridiplantae; Streptophyta; Magnoliopsida; Malpighiales; Euphorbiaceae. The record is from RNAcentral.
GUGGGGUGUGUGGAGGAAAGGGAGAGAGUUCAUUGUCAAUAGAAUCCGAAAAACAUCGCUAUUUGUCUCAGUUGUUUUUGUAACAUUGUUUCAAGCCACUAACCAACCAUGCCUCCAACUCUAUCCUUCAUUUUACUUCUCUUCACUUUCCUCUGGCAAAUUAAGGUGUGAUUCUUUGUGGCAUCGUUGAGUUUUUCCAACAAUCAGGAGGCAAAAAUAACCAGCUUCCAAAGACACAUCAACAAUAUAUGGCAUCAACCAGGACAUUAGCUUAGGGCCUUACAUGUUCUCUGAUGAACUGUUCCACCUGAGAUAUCUCGCCUGUCAAACCAGAAGAUUCAGCAAUGGUAACUUUGUUACUGCAAUGAGAGAAUGAAAACGCUUCCCCAGGGAUGCCAAGAGUGAACUCAUUUGCAACAUCAGCUUCUGAUAU